This is a long non-coding RNA of Eriocheir sinensis (Chinese mitten crab), 1274 nucleotides long. RefSeq lists it as uncharacterized. The record is from RefSeq and is a predicted model, not a curated record. The transcript is spliced from 2 exons. NCBI's taxonomy places the organism in Eukaryota, Metazoa, Arthropoda, Malacostraca, Decapoda, Varunidae.
GUAAGGUAAGGGAAGCUAAGGGCGAAAAAGUGUUUCUUGGAAAAGAAGAGAAAAAAAGAAUGCUAGUUGGAGGAGAGAAGAAAAAAAGUUGUGGUAUAGUCCCACAUACGGUAAAAAAGAAAGAAAAUAUUUCGAAAUGAAAAAAGGGAUAAAGGAUGGCAUUUGAAGUAUGGAAAAUGUAAUGGUAAAGAAACGUAAGCUAUGGCAAAGUAAGAAAAAAAAAUAGGUAAUGUAGGAGUGAACAAAUGGUAUGGAGCUAAAAGAGGAUGAAAAAAAGUAAAAGAAAGAAUCAGGAGUAAGAAAGUAGUCUAGUCUAUAUAUACAAUUUUUUUUUUUUACACUAACCAUAACAGGUGAAUAAGGAUGAGGAUGAACAAAGCCCCAUUCUCAACAACAAAAACAAGAAAAAUGUGAAUAAGGAUGAUAGGGCAAUACCUUUAACCCUACACAAUAAUGAACAAAGGCCUCUAUUCCCGCCCUACUGUACGCUGUCUCCGUCAGCGUCUGGCAGCGGUGAGCGAGGCUGGAUUGGGACAGCCCCGACGUGGGUUUUUUUGUUUUCGCGUAGGUAUCCCCUUAUAGCCUCGGGGGAAGGUGGGAGUUGCUGUGCGUGAGUCCGUUCGUGGCCGCCGCUGUAGUAUAUAAGGCUAGGGGAGGGUUUGGCCGACACACCUUGACUGCUUUACCUGCCGACAACACAUCUCCAGUUCGUUCUACAGAUAGAACUAUGGCCAAGCUGACGUGGUGCCUGCUGGUGCUGGCGGCGGCGGCGCUGGUGGCGGGGGAAGCAGACCCUGGCCACCACUACGGCAAGGGCUAUAGGCGGCCUACCUACUACGGCCAGCGGCAACCCUACGGCAGCAGCGGCUCCUUUGGGCACGUUUCCUCCAUCGGCCACGGACCUGUCGGGCAUUUGGGCGGGAAACUUGGUGGUCACUCCACUCUCGGUCACGGCUUCAUCGGAAAGGGUUCUGCGGGUCAUCUCGGCGGCCACUCCACUCUCGGUCACGGAAUUGGAAAAGGUUCUGUCGGUCAUCUCGGAGGCCACUCCACUCUCGGUCACGGAGUUGGAAAAGGUUCUAUCGGUCAUCUCGGCGGGAAACUAGGCGGACACGGCGGCUCCGUUGGGCACCUUGGCGGCCACGGCGUCAAGCCCUACCACCGCUAAACUAGUCGCCCCAUACCUGCCCGCCACACUCUUGCAUGCACCUGCCCGGCACACCAAACGCACUUUUGUCUUUGUACGUGGUUAUAAUACACGUUAUGGAACUCCA